RNAcentral lists this ribosomal RNA (853 nucleotides) under Ganula lanuginosa. Its description in RNAcentral is "partial 16S ribosomal RNA". Lineage: Eukaryota; Metazoa; Mollusca; Gastropoda; Stylommatophora; Hygromiidae. The record is from RNAcentral.
AUAUAUUAUAUUAUAUUAAGAAUUUAAUAUCCCGAAGCCAUGCGAGCUAAAAAAAGAAUUAUAAUAGUAAUUUAAUUAAAUGUAGCAUUAUUUAGCUAAUAUUAUUUUUUAGGGGUGAUAGGCCUUUCAAGCUAGGCGAUAUCUGGAUAUCUAGGAAAAAUAUUUAGUAUAUUUCUAAUUUAGAAAUGCUAAGGUUUCUAAAAAAUAUUAUUAAUAUUUAAAUAUUUAUUUUAAUGGCUAAAUUCUUAAACUUUAAUAAAAUUAACAUAAUAUAUAUUAAGAAUAUAUUUAUUACUAGUUUAUUUUUAAAAAUUUCUACAAAAAUUGAAAUUGUAUAUAUUAGUAUAUUAAUAAUGUUUUUGGAAGGAACUCGACAAAAAUAUUUCUGGACUGUUUAUCAAAAACAUAGCCCUAAGAAUCUAUUUUGGGUGAUACCUGCUCAAUGAAUUUUUAAAUAGCCGCAGUACCUUGACUGUGCAAAGGUAGCAUAAUCAGUUGGCUUAUAAUUGAAGUCUGGCAUGAAUGGAUUUACUGGAAAAAAUUGUCUACUAAAAAUAAAUUGAAGUUACUUAAUAAGUGAAAAUUCUUAUAGAUAUAUAAAAGACGAGAAGACCCUAGAAAUUUUUUAUAAAAUUAUAUAUAAAUAUUUUGUUGGGGCGACAAGGUAACAAAUAACCUACCUAUUUUCUUUUUGAAUCUUAUUUGAAGAUUAAUUAAAUUACUCUAGGGAUAACAGCAUUAUUUAAUAAAAAGUUUGUGACCUCGAUGUUGGACUAGGAAAAUUUUUAUUUAGAAGAUAAAAAUAUAGGCUCUGUUCGAGCUUCUUUUCCUACAUGAUCUGAGUUCAGACCGG